Molecule: ribosomal RNA, 433 nt
Filed under: uncultured bacterium
Lineage: Bacteria
Description: partial 16S ribosomal RNA
Rfam family: Bacterial small subunit ribosomal RNA
Source: RNAcentral
AACGAACGCUGGCGGCAGGCUUAACACAUGCAAGUCGAACGGAACCUCCGUGAUUAGUGGCUGACGGGGGUGUCACGCGUGGGAACGUACCCUUUGCUACCGAAUACUACAGGGAAACUUGAGCUAACAUCGUAUGAGCUCCACGGGGGCCAGAUUCAUCGUCAAAGUAUAGGCCCGCGUUGGAUUAGCCUGUCGGUGGGGUAAUGGCCUACCACGGCGACGAUCCAUAGCUGGUCUGAGAGGAUGAGCAGCCACACUGGGACGGAGACACGGCCGAGACUCCUACGGGAGGCAGCAGUGGGGAAUAUAGGAAAAUGGGCGCGAGCCUGAACCAGCCAGGCCGCGUGAGUGAUGAAGGUGUUAGGAUAAUAAAGCUCUUUCACCGGUGAAGAUAAUGACGGUAGCCGGAGAAGAAGCCCCGGCUAACUUCGUG